RNAcentral lists this ribosomal RNA (253 nucleotides) under uncultured bacterium. RNAcentral's name for it is "partial 16S ribosomal RNA". It matches the Rfam family "Bacterial small subunit ribosomal RNA", at positions 524 to 776 of the family's 1533-position model. The record is from RNAcentral.
UACGUAGGGGGCAAGCGUUGUCCGGAUUUAUUGGGCGUAAAGAGCGUGUAGGCGGCCAAGUAGGUCCGUUGUGAAAACUCGAGGCUCAACCUCGAGACGCCGAUGGAAACCAUUUGGCUAGAGUCCGGAAGAGGAGAGUGGAAUUCCUGGUGUAGCGGUGAAAUGCGCAGAUAUCAGGAGGAACACCGGUGGCGAAGGCGGGUCUCUGGGCCGUAACUGACGCUGAGGAGCGAAAGCAUGGGGAGCGAACAGG